This 348-nucleotide ribosomal RNA is filed under the name Escherichia coli. Its description in RNAcentral is "partial 23S ribosomal RNA". It matches the Rfam family "Bacterial large subunit ribosomal RNA", at positions 1536 to 1874 of the family's 2925-position model. Lineage: Bacteria; Pseudomonadati; Pseudomonadota; Gammaproteobacteria; Enterobacterales; Enterobacteriaceae. The record is from RNAcentral.
GAAAAUCAAGGCUGAGGCGUGAUGACGAGGCACUACGGUGCUGAAGCAACAAAUGCCCUGCUUCCAGGAAAAGCCUCUAAGCAUCAGGUAACAUCAAAUCGUACCCCAAACCGACACAGGUGGUCAGGUAGAGAAUACCAAGGCGCUUGAGAGAACUCGGGUGAAGGAACUAGGCAAAAUGGUGCCGUAACUUCGGGAGAAGGCACGCUGAUAUGUAGGUGAAGCGACUUGCUCGUGGAGCUGAAAUCAGUCGAAGAUACCAGCUGGCUGCAACUGUUUAUUAAAAACACAGCACUGUGCAAACACGAAAGUGGACGUAUACGGUGUGACGCCUGCCCGGUGCCGGAA